Molecule: ribosomal RNA, 253 nt
Filed under: uncultured bacterium
Lineage: Bacteria
Description: partial 16S ribosomal RNA
Rfam family: Bacterial small subunit ribosomal RNA
Source: RNAcentral
UACGAAGGGGGCUAGCGUUGCUCGGAAUGACUGGGCGUAAAGCGCACGCAGGCGGUCUGUUAAGUUUGACGUGAAAGCUCCCGGCUUAACUGGGAGAGGUCGUUGAAGACUGGCAGACUUGAGGCGAUGAGAGGGGUGUAGAAUUCCCGGUGUAGUGGUGGAAUGCGUAGAUAUCGGGGGGAAUACCAGUGGCGAAAGCGGCACCCUAGCGUUAGCCUGACGCUCAUGUGCGAAAGCGUGGGGAGCGAACGGG